AGUCCUGUAGUCCAGUGGUCUAAGACGCUCGCACUGUACUUGUCCCGUAUGCGCCAGCGUUGUGUCGGGCGCGUUGCUGCAUGGGCAGCCCACGCGUAAAGACGGAUAAUGCGAGAGACGCUUGUUCGAACCAAGUCGGGACCA
This is a non-coding RNA of Byssothecium circinans, 144 nucleotides long. NCBI's taxonomy places the organism in Eukaryota, Fungi, Ascomycota, Dothideomycetes, Pleosporales, Massarinaceae. The record is from the annotation of a GenBank genome assembly.